ACGGGAGGCAGCAGCUAGGAAUAUUCCGCAAUGGACGAAAGUCUGACGGAGCGACGCCGCGUGGAUGAUGAAGGUCGUACGGUUGUAAAAUCCUUUUAUAAAUGAGGAAUAAGCAGUGUGAGAGAAACGCAUUGUGGUGACUGUAGGUUAUGAAUAAGCAACGGCUAAUUACGUGCCAGCAGCCGCGGUAACACGUAAGUUGCGAGCGUUGUUCGGAAUUAUUGGGCGUAAAGGGCAUGUAGGCGGUUUUGCAAGCUUGGUGUGAAAUCUCGGAGCUCAACUCCGAAAUUGCGUUGAGAACUGCAUGACUGGAGUCACUGAGGGGCAAGCAGAAUUCCUGGUGUAGGGGUGAAAUCGGUAGAUAUCAGGAAGAAUACCAAUGGCGAAGGCAGGUUACCAGCAGAUGACUGACGCUGAGGUGCGAAGGUGCGGGGAGCAAACAGGAUUAGAUACCCUGGUA
Molecule: ribosomal RNA, 460 nt
Filed under: uncultured Treponema sp.
Lineage: Bacteria; Pseudomonadati; Spirochaetota; Spirochaetia; Treponematales; Treponemataceae
Description: partial 16S ribosomal RNA
Rfam family: Bacterial small subunit ribosomal RNA
Source: RNAcentral